Non-coding RNA from Schizosaccharomyces pombe (fission yeast), 5113 nucleotides. Lineage: Eukaryota; Fungi; Ascomycota; Schizosaccharomycetes; Schizosaccharomycetales; Schizosaccharomycetaceae. The record is from the annotation of a GenBank genome assembly.
CACCCCACAUCCCCUAAAUCUUUAUUAAGAUCAUGUGCAUAAAAAGGCCUCGACACCACAAUUGGGAAGGGGAUAAUUGGGGUCGGAAAACGAGAUUCUUUUAUUUAUACGAGCGUAUUCCUAUAAGCAAGUGACUUGCCUGCUUUGUUCAAAGUCGUGAGACACCUAUAAGUUUGGGGGGAACGGCAUGAGAGUAAUGCUUGUGUGUAGUAGCGUAUAAGUUAAAAACUUUCUUCGUUUGGAAAGUUUGAAUCACCAUUAGAUUCCUCAACGGUCACUACACUCACGAGGAGAGAAAAGACACUUACUUGUUCGUUGACCAUUACAUUAAUCAAGCCUCUUCGUAUGUCUCAAAUACAGCAUUCCAGAAAAAAUACACCAGUGCUAUUCUGGUGUUUAAUUGUCUUUAUUGGAUUGACGUAGGGAAAAGCAUAAAAUUUUUUUUCACCAUAUUAGCGAGGAAACCAUGAAAUCUAUAAAAAUGUAUCCCAAACACUUUUGCAAUUUUUGCUUGUUUUUGUGAUCGUUAAGACUGUCAUUUUUCCCGCUUAAAAAGGCUCAAAAAGUGUUUAUUGAUUAUAUGAAAUUUUGGACUUGUUCGACCCAUGAUGGAGGGAAAGCUCUUGAAAGCUAGAAAAAAUUGGUACUCGACUUUUCUAGUGCUUGCUCUGAUUCCUAUAAUUCUAUUUGAGACAAUUGAAAUGAUAUAAUGAUCAAAAAGGUUUUGUUGAACAAUAAAAAGCAAAAAAUUGCUUUCCAUGUGUUAAAAGAAGCCGAGAAGGCUGCGAAAAUUUAGUCGGACCUUUUCAGUUUUCGCGUGUAUAUUUACACUCUUUGAGACAAUCGGAGUUCUAAAAAAGGACCAAAUUUAUAGACUACUUGCAUUGUAUCACUUAAAUCAAAAAUUCGCUCCCUCGUUCUCUGUGCUAACCGUUCAUAAGAAGUUCAUCUUUUUCCUGCUAUACCUAUAAAGAUUAGACGAUGCUUAUUCUCAUGGAUAUCCGCAGCCCUUCCAAAUCAGCAUGCAAACAUCCACUACCCUUACCAUUCUUUUGAAUCGCUUGCCUUUUAAACGAGUAUUGAGAUGGAAUAAUAUUCUCUACAUGCUCGCUUCUGCGUCCUGAUAUUUGAAAUGAUUUGUUGGAUUAUUCUGAGACUUCUUAUUACAAUUGGAUACUUUAGAAGUAUCCAAUUAAUUUGUUUUAGAAAAAGUGAUAAUCAUUUGGGAGUUGUGCUAUUAUAAAAGAAAGAGAUUCUUUGCUUAGUGUUGUGCUCUAAGCAAAUUGAAAAAGCUGAAAUGGCCAGGGGCUGCUAGUUUCUUGUAUGCAGCAAAGUUGCACCACCUUAUGCGAGAUUUACUGACUUUCCGAUCGGAAUUUUUAGGAACACUUUGGUCUCGAUUAUCGCUAUCUUUGUAACUGUCUAACAAACAUUUCUGUUUUUUUAACAAGGUUGCGACAAUUCUUUUUGCAUUGGUUGCAUUCCUGUUGACCAAUGCAUUUACUUUUUCGCGCAAAAUCUAAAUCCGAGUAUUGUAAAUUCACUUGCUAAGCCGUUGUCUAUUGUUUUUAUUCGCAUUAAAUUUGCAGUUUAAUUGCCUUAUAUCCCUAAUUUGCGUCUUUUAGUAAGACCCACGCCAUUCUUUUUGCAAUAUUUUAUUUUCUAUUUUCGUUCCCAUUAAAUAAUGUUAAACUGCCCUACGAAAUUUCCAAUUUGUUUUCCCAGCAUCCAGAUGCCUCUACUUAAUACUUUUAUCACCUUUCGUCAGUUGUUUUGUACCUGAAAGACAUAGCCUUACGUUACUUGUGAUCAUCUUUUUGGUAAUUAUCCCACAGGGUAAAAAGUUUGCAUAAUUGUCGCUUUACGACAAUUUAUUACUUUUGUUUGUUCUGGAAGUCUUUAUAAUUGUUCUAAGUUAAGCCGGUGGUCGCAACAGACGUUUUAAUUGGAUAAUGCGAGGUUUUAUUCCCAAAAUACAAACAGACUUGUCUGUCAUAAAAUAAGUUAAAAUGAUUUGUCAAAUAGAGGAUCAAUUCUCAAAUAUUUGCCAAAUCAGUCUCUAAUUUAUUUGAAGUGAGAAACUUGAUUGCCUAUGUCAGCAUCCCACGAUGGUCAUUUUUGAUACAGCGACUGAGUUUUAUGCGGUUGAUUCAUGUUCCAUCGUUUGCAUAACAUUGGUAAUCUUUUAUAUCUUCUUCAUCUUCUUAUACUAAAGAAUUUCAUUUAUUUGUUUGGAUGUCCUAAGCCACGUAUAUAAUAAUAUGUUACAGAAACUCAGGUUUCUGUUAACAUAAUUUCGCAUGAAGCCAAAUUCCUAUUCCACCUUCUUUGAAGAGUGCUACCAUGCUCAUUCCGCCAUAUAAAAUUAGCUGCUGCAUUACUCCCCUGCAUCUUACCUUUGAAGCUGGACGGUUAUCGCUACGCUACACUUACACACCGACAUACUAACAAACACUUAAACAUUACUCUGUAAAACUACACGGAAAGUUCGAAUUUCUCAUGUUAUUGUUGAAAACUGUAAUUAGGGGUUUGAAAAAGGUUCUGUGAAUCGUCAAACGUUCUUGAUUAAAAAGGAGAAACCGUGAAAAAUCUAGCAAAAAAUCGAGUCAAACACACGAAAAUAAACCAUGUAUAACCUUGAAAACGAAUGAGAAACGUCUAAUUAGAAAUUAGCGGCUCCAAAAAAAAAUUUGAAUGCGAACAUAAAGGUUGGUCCGCGAAUGUUACAUGUUGGUGAAUUAAUUAAUGAAGUGGAAGGAGGUGGUUAAAACAAAAUCACGAAAAAACUUAGUCCACUUGAAUAGACAAAAUGCGUGCCUGAAUAAAUAAGUGAUAAACUGCCCGCAGUUUGCAAAUAAAUAUUUAAACCGAAAAUCACCAUCUUGAAUUCAUAACAGGGAGGAUCCAAAAUACCGAAGAUGGAAGUUAACAAAGUUAAACCAUUGGCACAUCUGAAAUGUUCAGGUAUUUGUAUUUGCUAGCGUCUGAAAUCAUGCUAGGUUUGUAGUUCACAUUGAAUCCAUAAGCUAUCGGUAGGUGUCCAUUUUAUUGAACAACAUUCCAAACUUCAAUUAUUGCUAGGUCAGUAAUUUCGUUCGCGUAAUUCAACUAUAACGAUAAAUUGAUAGACCUAGUAUUAACAAUUGUUUACUGGAAUGCGAUGUAAGUCAAAUUAAAAAAAUGGGCAUCGCACAGCUUGGCAGUAAACUAUUGGUGCUUGGAUUGCUCCAAAUCAUAUGCAGUUUGAGUAAGAAAACGAUUGUAAGGAUUUGAUCGAGAUGUAUGCCAACUAAAAUUAUUACUUGUAUACGAUUCAUUAGAUCCAGGGAGGACACAUGAUGAAGACAUUUGAAAGGGAGAUUGACUUCUAUGAUAUUCUUUAGUAUUUGACAUCACUGAGUGAAUGUGGACUAAUGGAAGCUACGUCUUGGAAGGAUGAUUCAGCUUCUUGAUUCGUUAAGGAAGGAGAGCGAUCAUAUGCCAAAAAUGGAGUAUUCGCAAUGGUAUGUUGAGAAGUCUCACAACUGCUACCCGAAUACGCAGUAGGCGGAAUAGGUGAGCCUUGUUUAACAUCAAACAUCUCAGGCGUUAGCUGUGGAUUUGGAUGUUCAUAGAGAAAAGGAGGGCAAGCCGGGUUACCAGGAGAGACAUUUUUUAAGGUGUAUUGAUUAGGUGAAGAAAGAUAACUUGCUGGAGGCAUAAGGACCUUCUGAUCAUAGGUGGACUGGUCUUGUUGCAGUACAUGAGUACCCAGAUAAGUUGGAACUUGUUUCAAAGAAGGAGACGUAGCUCUUUGUGGAUAGUAGUAAGGAGCGAAGUGCGUUUGCCUACGAUGACCAGGAAAGCCGUUAUCACUAGGGUACGGAGAAUGAUGUUGCAAUGGAACUGUAGCACCCGGAGACACAGGAGAUUGGAAACAAUAGGGCGGUGGAUAGUUAUUGUUAUGAAAAUGAGGAUGAGGUGGAUGAUGAGGAGGACGAGUAUGGGGAUGAUGAUGUUGUGUGGGAGGAAAUGGAGGACAAGAACGAACGUGAUUAGACGAUAAAGGCUCGGGACGACAGUAAGACUGAACUUGAGGAUUAUAGUCCUGAACAGUCGUUUCCGAUGUUGCAGGAGAAUCACCAGUGUCGAGUUGGGAGUCUGAUAAAGGUUGGUCCUGUGACUUCAAAUGCUUAUUAUUAAGAGGAGUAAAUGAACCAGUUGUCGUUUCUGGAGACACGGUACUUGACUCUUCGACAGGCGAUGACGAAAAAUGAGAACGGUUUUUUAACUCAUAUAUGCUGAGAGUGUUGAGUUGUUGAAGAGUACGUUGAUAGUCAGAGGAACAAAAGACGUGCAAACGUCCUUUCCGAUCAAUGACUGUGACGGCGACUUCACAAUCGGCUAGCACAGCGAGUUCAUACGCCUUUUUGUAGAGACCUUGUUUUCGUUUGACAAAAGUUACGCUCCUUGAACGAUCGUCGGUUAUGGGUGCAAUGGAGAUUUUUUUGCGCCCCAUAUUAGACGUUGUAUAUAUUUAGUAAGGUUUGACGAGAAAAGAGAAAAAGAGUCGACGAGGUUAACCAAAAUUCAGGUAUAGGGAGAAUGACGAAAACAAACGAGCAAACGAGCGAGCAAACGGGCAAGUAUAUAAGGAACAAAUAGAAAACAGCAGAUGGGGUUUAUUCUUGGAAUUUAUGUAACAGUUUUUAUCCCUGUCUUCCCUUCUCUGCACCGGAUCUCUUGAGGGUAGAUUUUUCGCUUGAGAAAACAAGAGCGCAAAGUUCUCCAAUUGUGCUCGUAAUUGAUAGUCGAUUAGACGAAUCUAAGUUGAGAUUUAAAAACGAGGAAGCUAUUUUUGUUUUUGUACUCUGGGUUGAAGCGGGCGACGAAACUAAAGAUAUUAAUAGAAAAAAUUUUUUUAGUAAACAAGAUAGCCGGAACGGGUGGUUUUCAAGUGUUUACAAAUGAGAGGAACAAAGACAAAUUAAAUGACUAGAUGUUUUUGUGUGCUAUUUUUAAAAUAGAAAGAGGAAGAAUCAACACUUUGGAGAAAUUUUUGCCUUUGAAGCUAUAUUUUUAACAAUUGUCCCCUCCUUUUCAAUGUCAGGUUUAAAAAUAUCUUCUCGCCAAG